GUGUCAGCCGCCGCGGUAAUACGUAGGGGGCUAGCGUUGUCCGGAUUUAUUGGGCGUAAAGAGCGUGUAGGCGGCCAGGUAGGUCUGGUGUGAAAACUCGAGGCUUAACCUCGAGAUGUCAUCGGAAACCAUCUGGCUAGAGUCCGGAAGAGGAAAGUGGAAUUCCUGGUGUAGCGGUGAAAUGCGCAGAUAUCAGGAAGAACACCAAUGGCGAAAGCAGCUUUCUGGGACGGUACUGACGCUGAGACGCGAAAGCGUGGGGAGCGAACAGGAUUAGAUACCCGUGUAGUCC
RNAcentral lists this ribosomal RNA (292 nucleotides) under uncultured bacterium. RNAcentral's name for it is "partial 16S ribosomal RNA". It matches the Rfam family "Bacterial small subunit ribosomal RNA", at positions 505 to 796 of the family's 1533-position model. The record is from RNAcentral.